Molecule: ribosomal RNA, 1363 nt
Filed under: uncultured bacterium
Lineage: Bacteria
Description: 16S ribosomal RNA
Rfam family: Bacterial small subunit ribosomal RNA
Source: RNAcentral
UUUGAUCCUGGCUCAGGAUUAACGCUGGCGGUACGUCUAAUACAUGCAAGUCGAGCGGAGUACUUCGGUACUCAGCGGCGAACGGGUGAGUAACACGUAGGUAACCUGCCUUUAAGACGAGGAUAACAGUUGGAAACGACUGCUAAUACUGGAUUGGAAGCGAGGAAGGCAUCUUCCUAGCUUAAAAGGUCCUUUAGGGGACUACUUAAAGAGGGGCCUGCGGCGCAUUAGUUAGUUGGUAAGGUAAGGGCUUACCAAGACAAUGAUGCGUAGCUGGACUGAGAGGGUGAACGGCCACACUGGAACUGAGACACGGUCCAGACUCCUACGGGAGGCAGCAGUGGGGAAUAUUGCACAAUGGAGGGAACUCUGAUGCCGCGACCCCGCGUGAGUGAAGAAGGGCUUCGGAUCGUAAAACUCUGUCCUUGGUGAAGAAACAGACGGUAUCCAAGGAGGAAGCCCCGGCUAACUACGUGCCAGCAGCCGCGGUAAUACGUAGGGGGCGAGCGUUGUCCGGAUUUACUGGGCGUAAAGGGUGAGUAGGCGGUUGUAUAUGUCAGGUGUAAAAGGCUAUGGCUUAACCAUGGUUAGCACUUGAAACUGUACAACUUGAGUGCAGGAGAGGUAAGUGGAAUUCCUAGUGUAGCGGUGAAAUGCGUAGAUAUUAGGAGGAACACCAGUGGCGAAGGCGACUUGCUGGACAUUAACUGACGCUGAGACGCGAAAGCGCGGGGAGCAAACAGGAUUAGAUACCCUGGUAGUCCGCGCCGUAAACGAUGAAUACUAGGUGUGGGAGGACUGACCCCUUCCGUGCCGGAGUUAACACAUUAAGUAUUCCACCUGGGGAGUACGGCCGCAAGGCUGAAACUCAAAGGAAUUGACGGGGGCCCGCACAAGCAGUGGAUUAUGUGGUUUAAUUCGACGCAACGCGAAGAACCUUACCAGGGCUUGACAUCCAACUAACGAAGCAGAGAUGCAUUAGGUGCCCUUCGGGGAAAGUUGAGACAGGUGGUGCAUGGUUGUCGUCAGCUCGUGUCGUGAGAUGUUGGGUUAAGUCCCGCAACGAGCGCAACCCUUAUUGUUAGUUGCUACGAAAGAGCACUCUAGCGAGACUGCCGUUGACAAAACGGAGGAAGGUGGGGACGACGUCAAAUCAUCAUGCCCCUUAUGUCCUGGGCUACACACGUAAUACAAUGGCGUUUAACAGAGGGAAGCGAAGGAGCGAUCCGGAGCAAAUCCCCAAAAAGCGUCUCAGUUCGGAUUGCAGGCUGCAACUCGCCUGCAUGAAGUCGGAAUUGCUAGUAAUCGCGGAUCAGCAUGCCGCGGUGAAUACGUUCCCGGGCCUUGUACACACCGCCCGUCA